CAGUAGCCGCGGUAAUACAGAGGGUGCGAGCGUUAAUCGGAUUUACUGGGCGUAAAGCGUGCGUAGGCGGCUUCUUAAGUCGGAUGUGAAAUCCCUGAGCUUAACUUAGGAAUUGCAUUCGAUACUGGGAAGCUAGAGUAUGGGAGAGGAUGGUAGAAUUCCAGGUGUAGCGGUGAAAUGCGUAGAGAUCUGGAGGAAUACCGAUGGCGAAGGCAGCCAUCUGGCCUAAUACUGACGCUGAGGUACGAAAGCAUGGGGAGCAAACAGGAUUCGAUACCCCUGUAGUCCCUGUCUCUUAUAC
This 301-nucleotide ribosomal RNA is filed under the name uncultured bacterium. RNAcentral describes it as "partial 16S ribosomal RNA". It matches the Rfam family "Bacterial small subunit ribosomal RNA", at positions 509 to 807 of the family's 1533-position model. The record is from RNAcentral.